GAUGAACGCUAGCUACAGGCUUAACACAUGCAAGUCGAGGGGCAGCAUUUCAGUUUGCUUGCAAACUGGAGAUGGCGACCGGCGCACGGGUGAGUAACACGUAUCCAACCUGCCGAUAACUCGGGGAUAGCCUUUCGAAAGAAAGAUUAAUACCCGAUGGUAUAAUCAGACCGCAUGGUCUUGUUAUUAAAGAAUUUCGGUUAUCGAUGGGGAUGCGUUCCAUUAGGCAGUUGGUGAGGUAACGGCUCACCAAACCUUCGAUGGAUAGGGGUUCUGAGAGGAAGGUCCCCCACAUUGGAACUGAGACACGGUCCAAACUCCUACGGGAGGCAGCAGUGAGGAAUAUUGGUCAAUGGGCGCAGGCCUGAACCAGCCAAGUAGCGUGAAGGAUGACUGCCCUAUGGGUUGUAAACUUCUUUUAUAUGGGAAUAAAGUUUUCCACGUGUGGAAUUUUGUAUGUACCAUAUGAAUAAGGAUCGGCUAACUCCGUGCCAGCAGCCGCGGUAAUACGGAGGAUCCGAGCGUUAUCCGGAUUUAUUGGGUUUAAAGGGAGCGUAGGUGGACAGUUAAGUCAGUUGUGAAAGUUUGCGGCUCAACCGUAAAAUUGCAGUUGAUACUGGCUGUCUUGAGUACAGUAGAGGUGGGCGGAAUUCGUGGUGUAGCGGUGAAAUGCUUAGAUAUCACGAAGAACUCCGAUUGCGAAGGCAGCUCACUGGACUGCAACUGACACUGAUGCUCGAAAGUGUGGGUAUCAAACAGGAUUAGAUACCCUGGUAGUCCACACAGUAAACGAUGAAUACUCGCUGUUUGCGAUAUACAGUAAGCGGCCAAGCGAAAGCAUUAAGUAUUCCACCUGGGGAGUACGCCGGCAACGGUGAAACUCAAAGGAAUUGACGGGGGCCCGCACAAGCGGAGGAACAUGUGGUUUAAUUCGAUGAUACGCGAGGAACCUUACCCGGGCUUAAAUUGCAUUUGAAUAUAUUGGAAACAGUAUAGCCGUAAGGCAAAUGUGAAAGUGCUGCAUGGUUGUCGUCAGCUCGUGCCGUGAGGUGUCGGCUUAAGUGCCAUAACGAGCGCAACCCUUAUCUUUAGUUACUAACAGGUCAUGCUGAGGACUCUAGAGAGACUGCCGUCGUAAGAUGUGAGGAAGGUGGGGAUGACGUCAAAUCAGCACGGCCCUUACGUCCGGGGCUACACACGUGUUACAAUGGGGGGUACAGAAGGCAGCUACCUGGUGACAGGAUGCUAAUCCCAAAAGCCUCUCUCAGUUCGGAUCGAAGUCUGCAACCCGACUUCGUGAAGCUGGAUUCGCUAGUAAUCGCGCAUCAGCCAUGGCGCGGUGAAUACGUUCCCGGGCCU
Molecule: ribosomal RNA, 1359 nt
Filed under: uncultured bacterium
Lineage: Bacteria
Description: bacterial SSU rRNA
Rfam family: Bacterial small subunit ribosomal RNA
Source: RNAcentral